RNAcentral lists this ribosomal RNA (863 nucleotides) under Escherichia coli. RNAcentral describes it as "partial 23S ribosomal RNA". It matches the Rfam family "Bacterial large subunit ribosomal RNA", at positions 354 to 1220 of the family's 2925-position model. Lineage: Bacteria; Pseudomonadati; Pseudomonadota; Gammaproteobacteria; Enterobacterales; Enterobacteriaceae. The record is from RNAcentral.
GCGAUACAGGGUGACAGCCCCGUACACAAAAAUGCACAUGCUGUGAGCUCGAUGAGUAGGGCGGGACACGUGGUAUCCUGUCUGAAUAUGGGGGGACCAUCCUCCAAGGCUAAAUACUCCUGACUGACCGAUAGUGAACCAGUACCGUGAGGGAAAGGCGAAAAGAACCCCGGCGAGGGGAGUGAAAAAGAACCUGAAACCGUGUACGUACAAGCAGUGGGAGCACAGAGCAAUCUGUGUGACUGCGUACCUUUUGUAUAAUGGGUCAGCGACUUAUAUUCUGUAGCAAGGUUAACCGAAUAGGGGAGCCGAAGGGAAACCGAGUCUUAACUGGGCGUUAAGUUGCAGGGUAUAGACCCGAAACCCGGUGAUCUAGCCAUGGGCAGGUUGAAGGUUGGGUAACACUAACUGGAGGACCGAACCGACUAAUGUUGAAAAAUUAGCGGAUGACUUGUGGCUGGGGGUGAAAGGCCAAUCAAACCGGGAGAUAGCUGGUUCUCCCCGAAAGCUAUUUAGGUAGCGCCUCGUGAAUUCAUCUCCGGGGGUAGAGCACUGUUUCGGCAAGGGGGUCAUCCCGACUUACCAACCCGAUGCAAACUGCGAAUACCGGAGAAUGUUAUCACGGGAGACACACGGCGGGUGCUAACGUCCGUCGUGAAGAGGGAAACAACCCAGACCGCCAGCUAAGGUCCCAAAGUCAUGGUUAAGUGGGAAACGAUGUGGGAAGGCCCAGACAGCCAGGAUGUUGGCUUAGAAGCAGCCAUCAUUUAAAGAAAGCGUAAUAGCUCACUGGUCGAGUCGGCCUGCGCGGAAGAUGUAACGGGGCUAAACCAUGCACCGAAGCUGCGGCAGCGACGCUUAUG